ACUAGCAAAAAAACUCCCGAAUUCCAAAACAACCUUUGAUAAAUAUCUCACUAAUAACUGUAAAAAUAGCUUCUUUAUUAAUCCAAUAACUAAAUAUGAAUUAGAAAAUGAGAUAAACAAUUUGAAUGCCAAAAAAAGCCCUGGCUAUGACGGUAUAAGCUCACAGGUAAUCAAAGCGAUUGCUACAGAAAUUUCUGAACCACUUUCACACAUAUUUAACUUGACUUUUCUUUCUGGAACUAUUCCUGAUGAUCUAAAAAUAGCUCUAGUUACCCCUAUAUUCAAAGCAAACGAAAACAAUGAAUUUAAGAAUUAUAGGCCCAUAUCUGUUCUCACUAGUUUUUCUAAAUUGUUAGAAAAGCUUAUGUAUAAGAGAUUAAUUAACCACAUAGAAAAAAAUAACAUAUUAACACAGCAUCAGUAUGGUUUUAGGGAAAAUAGAUCCACUGAGCUUGCAAUCAUAGAACUUGUUGACAGAGUUACUAAAGCAAUCGAUAGAGGAGAAUACACGAUAGGUAUUUUCCUCGACUUGUCAAAAGCCUUUGACACAAUUGAUCACAAGAUAUUGAUUCAAAAACUUGAUCACUAUGGUAUACGGGGAAUAACUCAAUUAUGGUUUCAAGAUUACUUAAAGAAUAGAAAACAAAUUGUUAAAUACAACCAAAUUAAAUCAAAAGAAAUGGUAAUUAAGAGUGGUGUCCCACAGGGAUCUAUUCUUGGACCAAUUCUAUUUCUGCUUUAUAUAAAUGAUAUUGAAAAUUGCAGCAAAUUAAUUUCAUUUAUAUUAUUUGCAGAUGACACUAAUAUAUUUUAUAGUAACAAGUGUCUAAAGACACUUAGUAAUAUUAUACAAACAGAAAUUGAUGAAGUUGCUGAAUGGUUAAAUGUGAAUAAAUUAUCUCUAAAUACUACAAAAACAAAAAUAAUUUUAUUCAGAUCUCCAAAUAAAAAACCAAGUCAAACCAUUAAAAUUAACAUAAAUGGUAAAAAUAUUGAACAAGUUAAAAGUACAACCUUCCUCGGUAUUAUCAUUGACGAAUGUUUGACCUGGAAAGAUCAUAUAGCUAAAGUAGCAAAGAAAAUAAUUAGAGCUGCUGGUAUAAUAGCUAAAAUACGACAUUUCAUAAAUCGAAAUACUCUAAAACUUAUAUAUUAUGCAUUAGUCUAUCCAUAUUUGAUAUACGGCAACUUAACAUGGGGUAAUACUUAUAAAAGUCGAAUCCAAAAAAUAAUGAACAUACAAAAAAAAAUUGUACGUCUAAUGACUUUCAAGUCUUAUUUAGAGCACAGUGAGCCAAUUUUCAAAGAUUUAAAUAUCCUAGACAUUUUCAAAAUCAAUGACUAUUUAACUGCCUUAUUUAUGUUUCGAUACCACCACCUUAGCAAUUUACCAGAUUUCUUUAAAAAUUAUUUUGUAACAAACAACCAAAUUCAUGAACAUAACACGAGAAAUGCAUCAAAACUUCACAAAUGUUAUAAAAGAACAAAUUAUGUAAAACACACUCUCUCAAAUAAAGGAGUUGAUGUAUGGAAUUCGUUAGAAACAAAACUUAAUGAAGUAAACUCCUAUAACACCUUUAAAAAGAGAAUUAAACAACAUUUUUUGCUAUACACAAUUACCAAUAUAUAAAACAUACUUCUCUAAUGUAUAUAAUGACAUAUACUUUAGUCUAUUGUAGCCCAACAUUGUCAUUGUAAAAUUAAAUGCAUCUACAACAUUACUAUUAAUUUAUAUAAUACGAACAUUCCCACUUCUUUUUCUCUCUUGUAAAUAUAGUGUAUAUACUUCAAAACUUUCUGAUUUUAAAUAUUAUGUAUUGAUUGACUGUAAAUAAUCGAUUAUGUGAUAAAACGAACAGUAACUAGAGACCUAAAAUAAAAAGUCUAUGAAGAUUUCUAGUAGGUCUCUAGCCCAACAUCUUCAAAUUAUUGUAAUAUAUUUUAAGUAGAUUUUUAUACAUGGGAAAAUAAAUAAAAAAAAAAAAGAA
Molecule: non-coding RNA, 1988 nt
Organism: Paramuricea clavata
Lineage: Eukaryota; Metazoa; Cnidaria; Anthozoa; Malacalcyonacea; Plexauridae
Source: the annotation of a GenBank genome assembly